RNAcentral lists this ribosomal RNA (852 nucleotides) under uncultured Chloroflexota bacterium. RNAcentral's name for it is "bacterial SSU rRNA". It matches the Rfam family "Bacterial small subunit ribosomal RNA", at positions 28 to 896 of the family's 1533-position model. Lineage: Bacteria; Bacillati; Chloroflexota. The record is from RNAcentral.
GAUGAACGCUGGCGGCGUGCAUAACGCAUGUAAGUCGAACGGUGAAGCCUGCUAUUUAUAGUGGGUGGAUCAGUGGCGAACUGGUGAGUAACACGUAGGUGACCUGCCCCAAAGAGGAGGAUAACUUUACGAAAGUGAAGCUAAUACUCCAUGUGGUCGCGCAUUCAAUUGUGCGACUAAAGCUCCGGCGCUUUGGGAGGGGCCUGCGGCCCAUCAGCUAGUUGGUAGGGUAACGGCCUACCAAGGCUAAGACGAGUAGCUGGUCUGAGAGGACGAUCAGCCACAAUGGCACUGAAACACGGGCCAUACUCCUACGGGAGGCAGCAGCGAGGAAUAUUGCACAAUCGACGAAAGUCGGAUGCAGCAACGCCGCGUGGACGAUGAAGGCCUUCGGGUUGUAAAGUCCUUUUAAGAGGGAAGAGGAAGGACGGUACCUCUUGAAUAAGCCUCGGCUAACUACGUGCCAGCAGCCGCGGUAACACGUAGGAGGCGAGCGUUAUCCGGAUUUAUUGGGCGUAAAGAGCACGCAGGUGGCUGAGUAAGUCGGGUGUGAAAGCCCCGGACUUAAUCCGGGGAGGUCAUUCGAUACUGCUUAGCUUGAGAACGGGAGAGGGAAGUGGAAUUCUCGGUGUAGUGGUGAUAUGCGUAGGCAUCGAGAGGAACACCAGUGGCGAAGGCGGCUUCCUGGCCCGUUUCUGACACUAAGGUGCGAAAGCGUGGGUAGCGAACGGACUUAGAUACUCCGGUAGUCCACGCCGUGAACGAUGGGUACUAGGUGUAGGGGAUGUAAAAUUCUCUGUGCCAAAGCUAACGCACUAAGUACCCCGCCUGGGGACUACGGCCGCAAGGUUA